CAUUAUCACCAUUUAAAAAAUUCUGCUAACUCUAGGGUGCGAAGGCUAGGAUUGCAGAAAAGAAUUUUAAUGUGUAACUUUUCCCAGUGAUAGCAACACUGUGGAACAAACACUGUUUUCUAUGGGAAGUCAUCUUUUACAUCUCUAAAAAUUUCUUGUGAAAUAACACACCCCCCCUGCAAAUAAUAAUAAAGAAAUCUGUUGAAGUAUAUGCAAGAAGCAAAACUGUCAGAGUCCCAAAUUAAAUUUGUCAUCAGUGAUAAAUUUAGUGCUGUAAGAUACUUUAAUAAGUGCUUCAGCUUGAUUUAUUGGUUUUGUUAGUUAACAAGAGUAUAUUACGUCUUGUACAGAACUUAGCAGAAGCAAUUUCUGACUAGAGCUUCCUUGAUUAAAAAAAAAUGAUGUCUCAUUUUAGUCGCUGUGGUAAUUAUUUUAGUGCCAAAUUGGAAGGUAAGCACAUGCAGUUCUGUCAUU
RNAcentral lists this long non-coding RNA (474 nucleotides) under Bos taurus (domestic cattle). Its description in RNAcentral is "long non-coding RNA NONBTAT007267". The record is from RNAcentral. Lineage: Eukaryota; Metazoa; Chordata; Mammalia; Artiodactyla; Bovidae.